AACGAACGCUGGCGGCGUGCCUAACACAUGCAAGUCGUGCGAGAAAGUUCCUUCGGGAGCGAGUAAAGCGGCGCACGGGUGAGUAACACGUAGGUAACCUGCCCCCCAGUCUGGAACAACUAGAGGAAACUCUAGCUAAUGCCGGAUGAGACCACGAUCCCUUCGGGGGUUGCGGCCAAAGAUGGCCUCUACUUGUAAGCUAUCGCUGAGGGAUGGGCCUGCGGCCAUUAGCUUGUUGGUGAGGUAACGGCUCACCAAGGCUGUGAUGGCUAGCUGGUCUGAGAGGAUGACCCGCCACACUGGGACUGAGACACGGCCCAGACUCCUACGGGGAGCAGCAGUGGGGAAUAUUGCGCAAUGGGCGAAAGCCUGACGCAGCGACGCCGCGUGGGGUGAUGAAGGCCUU
RNAcentral lists this ribosomal RNA (406 nucleotides) under uncultured bacterium. RNAcentral's name for it is "bacterial SSU rRNA". It matches the Rfam family "Bacterial small subunit ribosomal RNA", at positions 29 to 418 of the family's 1533-position model. The record is from RNAcentral.